Molecule: ribosomal RNA, 464 nt
Filed under: uncultured bacterium
Lineage: Bacteria
Description: partial 16S ribosomal RNA
Rfam family: Bacterial small subunit ribosomal RNA
Source: RNAcentral
ACGAACGCUGGCGGCGUGCUUAACACAUGCAAGUCGAACGGAAAGGCCCCUUUGGGGGUACUCGAGUGGCGAACGGGUGAGUAACACGUGAUUAACCUGCCCUUGACUUCGGGAUAACUUCUGGAUACUUGGGCUAAUACCGGAUAGGAAUCCUUUCUGCAUGGUUGGGGUUUGAAAGCUUCUGCGGUUUUGUUUGGACUGGCGGCUUAUCAUCUUGUUGGUGGGGUAGUGGCUUACCAAGGCUUUGACGGGUAGCCUGCCUGGGCGGGCGACAGGCCACAUUGGGAAUGAGAUACGGCCAAGACACGUACGGGAGGAAGAAGUGGGGAAUAUUGAAAAAUGGGCGGAAGCCUGAUGCAGCAAAGCCGCGUGCGGGAUGACGGACUUGGGGUUGGAAACCGCUUUCAGCAGGGGAGAAGCUUGUGGUGACGGUACCUGCAGAAGAAGCACCGGCUAACUACGUG